AGUUUGAUCCUGGCUCAGGACGAACGCUGGCGGCGUGCCUAAUGCAUGCAAGUCGAACGCACCCGCUUCGGCGGGUGAGUGGCGCACGGCUGAGUAACACGUGGGAACCCGCCCCCCGGUGGGGGAUAACGCGACGAAAGUUGCGCUAAUCCCGCAUACGUCCGCAAGGAGAAAGCGCACCCGCGCGCCGGGGGAGGGGCCUGCGGCCCAUCAGGUCGUUGGUGGGGUAAGGGCCUACCAAGCCGAUGACGGGUAGCUGGUCUGGGAGGAUGACCAGCCAGACUGGGACUGAGACACGGCCCAGACUCCUACGGGAGGCAGCAGCAAGGAAUUUUCGGCAAUGGGCGCAAGCCUGACCGAGCAACGCCGCGUGCGGGAUGACGGCCUUCGGGUUGUAAACCGCUUUUCGGGGGGACGACCCUGACGGUACCCCCGGAAUCAGCCCCGGCUAACUCUGUGCCAGCAGCCGCGGUAAGACAGAGGGGGCGGGCGUUGUCCGGAGUCACUGGGCGUAAAGCGCGCGCAGGCGGCAACCUAAGUGUCGUGUGAAAGCCCCCGGCUCAACCGGGGGAGGCCAUGGCAAACUGGGUCGCUCGAGCUGCGGAGAGGCCCCUCGAAUUGCCGGUGUAGCGGUGAAAUGCGUAGAGAUCGGCAGGAAGACCAAGGGGGAAGCCAGGGGGCUGGCCGCAGGCUGACGCUGAGGCGCGACAGCGUGGGGAGCAAACCGGAUUAGAUACCCGGGUAGUCCACGCCGUAAACGAUGACCACUCGGCGUGUGGCGACUAUUGACGUCGCGGCGCGCCCUAGCUCACGCGAUAAGUGGUCCGCCUGGGAACUACGAGCGCAAGCUUAAAACUCAAGGGAAUUGA
RNAcentral lists this ribosomal RNA (869 nucleotides) under uncultured bacterium. Its description in RNAcentral is "bacterial SSU rRNA". It matches the Rfam family "Bacterial small subunit ribosomal RNA", at positions 10 to 913 of the family's 1533-position model. The record is from RNAcentral.